This 68-nucleotide transfer RNA is filed under the name Melanomys caliginosus (dusky rice rat). Its description in RNAcentral is "tRNA-Asp". The record is from RNAcentral. Lineage: Eukaryota; Metazoa; Chordata; Mammalia; Rodentia; Cricetidae.
GAGGUAUUAGUAAAACAAUUACAUAACUUUGUCAAGGUUAAAUUAUAGACUUAAAUCUAUAUACUUCG